UACGAAGGGGGCUAGCGUUGUUCGGAAUUACUGGGCGUAAAGCGUGCGCAGGCGGUCUCUCAAGUCAGGGGUGAAAGCCCAGAGCUCAACUCUGGAAUUGCCUUUGAAACUGUGAGGCUUGAGUGCGGGAGAGGUGAGUGGAAUUCCCAGUGUAGAGGUGAAGUUCGUAGAUAUUGGGAAGAACACCGGUGGCGAAGGCGGCUCACUGGCCCGUUUCUGACGCUCAUGCACGAUAGCGUGGGGAUCAAACAGG
This 253-nucleotide ribosomal RNA is filed under the name uncultured bacterium. Its description in RNAcentral is "partial 16S ribosomal RNA". It matches the Rfam family "Bacterial small subunit ribosomal RNA", at positions 524 to 776 of the family's 1533-position model. The record is from RNAcentral.